GCGGCGGACGGGUGAGUAAUGCCUAGGAAUCUGCCUGAUAGUGGGGGACAACGUUUCGAAAGGAACGCUAAUACCGCAUACGUCCUACGGGAGAAAGCAGGGGACCUUCGGGCCUUGCGCUAUCAGAUGAGCCUAGGUCGGAUUAGCUAGUUGGUGAGGUAACGGCUCACCAAGGCGACGAUCCGUAACUGGUCUGAGAGGAUGAUCAGUCACACUGGAACUGAGACACGGUCCAGACUCCUACGGGAGGCAGCAGUGGGGAAUAUUGGACAAUGGGCGAAAGCCUGAUCCAGCCAUGCCGCGUGUGUGAAGAAGGUCUUCGGAUUGUAAAGCACUUUAAGUUGGGAGGAAGGGCAUUAACCUAAUACGUUAGUGUUUUGACGUUACCGACAAAAUAAGCACCGGCUAACUUCGUGCCAGCAGCCGCGGUAAUACGAAGGGUGCAAGCGUUAAUCGGAAUUACUGGGCGUAAAGCGCGCGUAGGUGGUUUGUUAAGUUGAAUGUGAAAGCCCCGGGCUCAACCUGGGAACUGCAUCCAAAACUGGCAAGCUAGAGUAUGGCAGAGGGUGGUGGAAUUUCCUGUGUAGCGGUGAAAUGCGUAGAUAUAGGAAGGAACACCAGUGGCGAAGGCGACCACCUGGGCUAAUACUGACACUGAGGUGCGAAAGCGUGGGGAGCAAACAGGAUUAGAUACCCUGGUAGUCCACGCCGUAAACGAUGAGAACUAGCCGUUGGACACCUUAGAGUGUUUAGUGGCGCAGCUAACGCGAUAAGUUCUCCGCCUGGGGAGUACGGCCGCAAGGUUAAAACUCAAAUGAAUUGACGGGGGCCCGCACAAGCGGUGGAGCAUGUUGGUUUAAUUCGAAGCA
RNAcentral lists this ribosomal RNA (869 nucleotides) under uncultured bacterium. RNAcentral's name for it is "bacterial SSU rRNA". It matches the Rfam family "Bacterial small subunit ribosomal RNA", at positions 95 to 958 of the family's 1533-position model. The record is from RNAcentral.